RNAcentral lists this ribosomal RNA (433 nucleotides) under uncultured bacterium. Its description in RNAcentral is "partial 16S ribosomal RNA". It matches the Rfam family "Bacterial small subunit ribosomal RNA", at positions 29 to 507 of the family's 1533-position model. The record is from RNAcentral.
AACGAACGCUGGCGGCAUGCCUAACACAUGCAAGUCGAACGAGACCUUCGGGUCUAGUGGCGCACGGGUGCGUAACACGUGGGAAUCUGCCCUUUGCUUCGGAAUAACAGUUAGAAAUGACUGCUAAUACCGGAUGAUGUCGAAAGACCAAAGAUUUAUCGGCAAAGGAUGAGCCCGCGUAGGAUUAGGUAGUUGGUGGGGUAAAGGCCUACCAAGCCGACGAUCCUUAGCUGGUCUGAGAGGAUGAUCAGCCACACUGGGACUGAGACACGGCCCAGACUCCUACGGGAGGCAGCAGUGGGGAAUAUUGGACAAUGGGCGAAAGCCUGAUCCAGCGAUGCCGCGUGAGUGAUGAAGGCCUUAGGGUUGUAAAGCUCUUUUACCAGGGAUGAUAAUGACAGUACCUGGAGAAUAAGCGCCGGCUAACUCCGUG